RNAcentral lists this ribosomal RNA (502 nucleotides) under uncultured bacterium. Its description in RNAcentral is "partial 16S ribosomal RNA". It matches the Rfam family "Bacterial small subunit ribosomal RNA", at positions 30 to 523 of the family's 1533-position model. The record is from RNAcentral.
AUUGAACGCUGGCGGAAUGCUUUACACAUGCAAGUCGAACGGCAGCAUAGGUGCUUGCACCUGAUGGCGAGUGGCGAACGGGUGAGUAAUACAUCGGAACGUGCCCAGUCGUGGGGGAUAACGUAGCGAAAGUUACGCUAAUACCGCAUACGAUCUAAGGAUGAAAGCGGGGGACCGUAAGGCCUCGCGCGAUUGGAGCGGCCGAUGUCAGAUUAGGUAGUUGGUGAGGUAAAGGCUCACCAAGCCGACGAUCUGUAGCUGGUCUGAGAGGACGACCAACCACACGGGGACUGAGACACGGCCCAGACUCCUACGGGAGGCAGCAGUGGGGAAUUUUGGACAAUGGACGCAAGUCUGAUCCAGCCAUUCCGCGUGCAGGACGAAGGCCUUCGGGUUGUAAACUGCUUUUGUACGGAACGAAAAAGCUCUUACUAAUACUAGGAGUCCAUGACGGUACCGUAAGAAUAAGCACCGGCUAACUACGUGCCAGCAGCCGCCGUAA